GACGAACGCUGGCGGCGUGCUUAACACAUGCAAGUCGAACGGAAAGGCCCUGCUUUUGUGGGGUGCUCGAGUGGCGAACGGGUGAGUAACACGUGAGUAACCUGCCCUUGACUUUGGGAUAACUUCAGGAAACUGGGGCUUAUACCGGAUAGGAGCUCCUGCUGCAUGGUGGGGGUUGGAAGGUUUCGGCGGUUGGGGAUGGACUCGCGGCUUAUCAGCUUGUUGGUGGGGUAGUGGCUUACCAAGGCUUUGACGGGUAGCCGGCCUGAGAGGGUGACCGGCCACAUUGGGACUGAGAUACGGCCCAGACUCCUACGGGAGGCAGCAGUGGGGAAUAUUGCACAAUGGGCGGAAGCCUGAUGCAGCAACGCCGCGUGCGGGAUGACGGCCUUCGGGUUGUAAACCGCUUUCGCCUGUGACGAAGCGUGAGUGACGGUAAUGGGUAAAGAAGCACCGGCUAACUACGUG
This 468-nucleotide ribosomal RNA is filed under the name uncultured bacterium. RNAcentral's name for it is "partial 16S ribosomal RNA". It matches the Rfam family "Bacterial small subunit ribosomal RNA", at positions 28 to 507 of the family's 1533-position model. The record is from RNAcentral.